AGUGAACGCUGGCGGUAGGCCUAACACAUGCAAGUCGAACGGCAGCACAGUAAGAGCUUGCUCUUACGGGUGGCGAGUGGCGGACGGGUGAGGAAUACAUCGGAAUCUACUUUUUCGUGGGGGAUAACGUAGGGAAACUUACGCUAAUACCGCAUACGACCUACGGGUGAAAGCAGGGGAUCUUCGGACCUUGCGCGAUUGAAUGAGCCGAUGUCGGAUUAGCUAGUUGGCGGGGUAAAGGCCCACCAAGGCGACGAUCCUUAGCUGGUCUGAGAGGAUGAUCAGCCACACUGGAACUGAGACACGGUCCAGACUCCUACGGGAGGCAGCAGUGGGGAAUAUUGGACAAUGGGCGCAAGCCUGAUCCAGCCAUACCGCGUGGGUGAAGAAGGCCUUCGGGUUGUAAAGCCCUUUUGUUGGGAAAGAAAAGCAGCAGGUUAAUACCCCGCUGUUCUGACGUUACCCAAAGAAUAAGCACCGGCUAACUUCGUG
This 492-nucleotide ribosomal RNA is filed under the name uncultured bacterium. Its description in RNAcentral is "partial 16S ribosomal RNA". It matches the Rfam family "Bacterial small subunit ribosomal RNA", at positions 29 to 507 of the family's 1533-position model. The record is from RNAcentral.